RNAcentral lists this ribosomal RNA (173 nucleotides) under Coprinellus disseminatus. RNAcentral's name for it is "5.8S ribosomal RNA". The stretch from base 4 to 157 matches the Rfam family "5.8S ribosomal RNA". From Rfam's summary of the family: 5.8S ribosomal RNA (5.8S rRNA) is a component of the large subunit of the eukaryotic ribosome. The record is from RNAcentral. RNAcentral also lists the same sequence under 9 other names. Lineage: Eukaryota; Fungi; Basidiomycota; Agaricomycetes; Agaricales; Psathyrellaceae.
UACAACUUUCAGCAACGGAUCUCUUGGCUCUCGCAUCGAUGAAGAACGCAGCGAAAUGCGAUAAGUAAUGUGAAUUGCAGAAUUCAGUGAAUCAUCGAAUCUUUGAACGCACCUUGCGCUCCUUGGUAUUCCGAGGAGCAUGCCUGUUUGAGUGUCAUUAAAUUCUCAACCUC